AUUGAAGUUACCGAGGCAGAUCUCAAGGAUGACCAGAGGGAUGAGUUGGCAAAGGCUAUGGAAAAUUUCAAGAAGGCAUGCCUGCAAUCCUACAGUCGUACCAGAAGCGAGGAACCCGUCAAAAAGACCGCUCUUCCAACUCCUCGUCAGAUCACCAUCGCCGAAGACUCGGGGAAGAUGUCCGAGAUGAUCCAGCAAUCUAUUUGUCAGGCUAUGAUUGAUCAGUCCAAGGUAAUGACCCACACGGUGUACAACGCCAUCAUUAGUUCUAUGGCAAAUGGUGCUGCGCAGGGGUAUCAGGGAUCAACUUACGCUCCUCCUAUCAGCGCACCAGUCAGAAACCUUUCGGUGGCACCCAGCAUAUUCCAAUUGGCUCCUCAACCGAUGCAGAUGUAGAGCGGGGGGU
Molecule: long non-coding RNA, 406 nt
Filed under: Setaria viridis
Lineage: Eukaryota; Viridiplantae; Streptophyta; Magnoliopsida; Poales; Poaceae
Description: long non-coding RNA (SVIR_LNC004180)
Source: RNAcentral